GCCUUUAGAAAUGUUAAUGAAAAGAGAUUUGUGUCACAUAGUCUAGUAAUUGCUUUAGCUUAAUCAAAAAGAUAGUUACAUUGUCUUUUUACAUUUUCUAUGGCAAAAAUUAAGCUUGAUUGAAUGAAUUGUUUUAUGCUUAUACAGGUUAAGCAUCCCUAAUCCGAGAAUCUGAAAUCCUAAAUGCUCCAAAAUCCAAAACUUUUUGAGCACCGACAUGAGGACACAAGUAGAAAUUUCCACACAUAAGCACUUAACACAAACUUUAUUUCAUGCACAAAAUUAUUAAAAAUAUUAUAUGAAAUUACCUUCAGGCUGUGUGUAUAAGUUGUACAUUGAACAUAAAAAUGAAUUUUGUGUUUAGACUUCGGUCCCAUCCCCAAAAUAUCCCAUUUCAUAUAUGCAGAUAAUCCAAAGUCUGAAAAAAUUUAAAAUUGGAAAUUAUUGGCAUUUCCAGUAAGGGAUACUCAACCUGUAAUCAUUUUGGCUCAGUUAAAUUUGGUAAAUAGCAGUAGUCAUUUUACCUUGAGUGGCAGUUCUACAAAUUAUAUUUUUGCCUGUUUUUAUAGCUGAAAAAUACAAGGAUUUAGUACCUGAUAAUUCAAAAACUGCUGACAAUGCAACUAAAAAUGCAGAACCAUUGAUCAAUUUGGAUGUAAAUAAUCCUGAUUUUAAGGCUGGUGUGAUGGCUUUGGCUAACCUGCUUCAGAUUCAGCGUCAUGAUGAUUACCUGGUAAUGCUUAAGGUCAGCUUCAUGUUAUUGAUUCUUGACAGAAACUGUGCACAUAGAAAAAUGUCUUUAUUUUCUAAAUAUU
Molecule: small RNA, 815 nt
Filed under: Pongo abelii (Sumatran orangutan)
Lineage: Eukaryota; Metazoa; Chordata; Mammalia; Primates; Hominidae
Description: retained intron
Source: RNAcentral